Non-coding RNA from Fusarium venenatum, 93 nucleotides. NCBI's taxonomy places the organism in Eukaryota, Fungi, Ascomycota, Sordariomycetes, Hypocreales, Nectriaceae. The record is from RefSeq and is a predicted model, not a curated record.
UACAGAGGAUUGACAGAUUGCGAGCUCUUUCUUGAUUUUGUGGGUGGUGGUGCAUGGCGGCCUUCCAUAAUAUAAGAAGGUUCAUAUCCAAAG